CCUACGGGUGGCUGCAGUGGGGAAUUUUGGACAAUGGGCGAAAGCCUGAUCCAGCAAUGCCGCGUGAGUGAAGAAGGCCUUCGGGUUGUAAAGCUCUUUUGUUUGGGAAGAAAUCCCUAAGGAUAAUACCCUUGGGGGAUGACGGUACCAACAGAAUAAGCACCGGCUAACUACGUGCCAGCAGCCGCGGUAAUACGUAGGGUGCAAGCGUUGAUCGGAAUUACUGGGCGUAAAGCGUUAAGACGCGGUUGAAAUCCCAGAGCUCAACGUGGGAACUGCACUUGUGACUGCAAGACUAGAGUGUGUCAGAGGGAGGUAGAAUUCCACGUGUAGCAGUGAAAUGCGUAGAUAUGUGGAGGAAUACCAGUGGCGAAGGCGGCCUCCUGGGAUAACACUGACGCUCAUGUACGAAAGCGUGGGGAGCAAACAGGAUUAGAUACCCGUGUAGUC
This 450-nucleotide ribosomal RNA is filed under the name uncultured bacterium. RNAcentral's name for it is "partial 16S ribosomal RNA". It matches the Rfam family "Bacterial small subunit ribosomal RNA", at positions 338 to 795 of the family's 1533-position model. The record is from RNAcentral.